GUUCCCUGAAUACAUUCUUCCAGAGACUGAGCUGUCUUCCAUCACCAUGUUCGUUGCUGCUACUGUUUUAACUCUCUCAGGACAAGGAAACCACCUCAAAAUGCAACUGGAAGGUGCUUUAAGAAGUUAUACUCUCAUGUUUUCUUUCAAGGUUUCUUCAUGCCUGCUUUCUCACAUUCACAUGAAGAGCCCACACAACCAGGGAGAGCUGGCUGACUAAUGGGUGAUAGAGAGGAAACAGUGACAGGCAGGAAGGCAGCAGUGGGGCACAUGGGUCCAGCGGAGAGUGGGAUGCGGGGGCUCGCCCCUAGCUGCUUGUUGCAUCUUCCCAGGGUCAUCAUUUGCACUCCUGAACACAUUUCAUCUGCCAGCUCUGCUGUAACCCCACAGCUUGAAAUUCAACUUGGUGUCUCAAAUGGGUAUUGGAUGUAGUAAGGUGGCUGUUGUGCGUGAAGUGUCACACAUUGUUAAGGCUUGUGCUCUAAUUAACUCAAAGUGGCAUAGACCAGGAUUGUAUAAUUGUGUCCUUAUUAACACGUGAGGCUUGACAGGAAUUACUGGGCUUGGUUAAUGUUAAUGUUCAACAAGUUAAUUUGAUGUAAGUGAAUCAAUAUCUUUCCCAAUGUCAUGUUAAGUUAAACAUACAUAAAAUAUCAAAAAAAAAAAAAGAAAAGGCUAACUUUUCUUCUUAUUGAGGCUGAUGUGCCUUAGGUUUCUUUAAAAGGAAACAAAAGUAGGAAUCCUUACCUAUCCAUAGCAUUUGAGAUCAGAUCAUCUGAGGCUUUCUCUCUCCAAACUGACGUGCCUCUGAUACUUUACUACAGAGUUAGACAACAACUUAGCCUCUGAGAAGCGUUGUUUCCUAUGUGCAUGUUUUGAGGUGUAAAUUCUGUUGAAUGCUCCAUAGCAGUUUUGUAGAUCUGGUGCUCACAUAUCCCUUGUCAUUAAUCCUGGAAAUAAUUUCUAAAGCUGGAAUUCCAUUUUUAAGUUCAUCCUCCUCUCAGGACAGACUGGUUAAAUCCACUACCUGAGUUCCUGCUCAAAAGCCAGCAUUGCUUGCAGGUGGAGACAUCAACACUGUGUACCAACGUUAGCUCAGUCUUCCCAAAAAGCACAGGGAUUGCUCGGCUGAGUCCAGCUCCAUCAAAGUAGUUUUAUGUGGUUUUAAAAACAGCCCAGUGACACGUAGAGGAAACAUGCAGCAGCCAAUUUGCUCCUUUUGCAUAGCUGGGAGCCAGAGGUUGGAGAAUAAAUUCAGUCUACAGUGGGUAAAUAUGGGGAGG
Molecule: long non-coding RNA, 1283 nt
Filed under: Anser brachyrhynchus (Pink-footed goose)
Lineage: Eukaryota; Metazoa; Chordata; Aves; Anseriformes; Anatidae
Description: lncRNA (ENSABRG00000007869.1)
Source: RNAcentral